Molecule: ribosomal RNA, 497 nt
Filed under: uncultured bacterium
Lineage: Bacteria
Description: partial 16S ribosomal RNA
Rfam family: Bacterial small subunit ribosomal RNA
Source: RNAcentral
GAUGAACGCUGGCGGCGUGCCUAAUACAUGCAAGUCGAGCGAACAGACGAGGAGCUUGCUCCUCUGACGUUAGCGGCGGACGGGUGAGUAACACGUGGAUAACCUACCUAUAAGACUGGGAUAACUUCGGGAAACCGGAGCUAAUACCGGAUAAUAUAUUGAACCGCAUGGUUCAAUAGUGAAAGACGGUUUUGCUGUUACUUAUAGCUGGAUCCGCGUCGCAUUAGCUAGUUGGUAAGGUAACGGCUUACCAAGGCAACGAUGCGUAGCCGACCUGAGAGGGUGAUCGGCCACACUGGAACUGAGACACGGUCCAGACUCCUACGGGAGGCAGCAGUAGGGAAUCUUGCGCAAUGGGCGAAAGCCUGACGGAGCAACGCCGCGUGAGUGAUGAAGGUCUUCGGAUCGUAAAACUCUGUUAUUGGGGAAGAACAAAUGUGUAAGUAACUAUGCACGUCUUGACGGUACCUAAACAGAAAGCCACGGCUAACUACGUG